Molecule: non-coding RNA, 73 nt
Organism: Cricetulus griseus (Chinese hamster)
Lineage: Eukaryota; Metazoa; Chordata; Mammalia; Rodentia; Cricetidae
Source: Rfam
GCCCGGAUAGCUCAGUCGGUAGAGCAUGAGACUCUUAAUCUCAGGGUUAUGGGUUUGAACCCCACAUUGGGCA